ACGAACGCUGGCGGCCUGCCUCACCCCUGCCAGUCGAACGGGUACCUUCGGGUGCUAGUGGCGCACGGGUGCGUAACGCGUGGGAAUCUGCCCUUGGGUUCGGAAUAACUCAGCGAAAGCUGUGCUAAUACCGGAUGAUGUCGAAAGACCAAAGAUUUAUCGCCCGAGGAUGAGCCCGCGUUGGAUUAGCUAGUUGGUGGGGUAAAGGCCUACCAAGGCGACGAUCCAUAGCUGGUCUGAGAGGAUGAUCAGCCACACUGGGACUGAGACACGGCCCAGACUCCUACGGGAGGCAGCAGUGGGGAAUAUUGGACAAUGGGCGAAAGCCUGAUCCAGCAAUGCCGCGUGAGUGAUGAAGGCCUUAGGGUUGUAAAGCUCUUUUACCCGGGAUGAUAAUGACAGUACCGGGAGAAUAAGCUCCGGCUAACUCCGUG
This 434-nucleotide ribosomal RNA is filed under the name uncultured bacterium. RNAcentral describes it as "partial 16S ribosomal RNA". It matches the Rfam family "Bacterial small subunit ribosomal RNA", at positions 29 to 507 of the family's 1533-position model. The record is from RNAcentral.